UCCCUGGUGGUCUAGUGGUUAGGACUUGACACUUUCACUGUUGAGGGCCUGGGUUCAAUCCCUGGUCGGGGAA
This 73-nucleotide transfer RNA is filed under the name Bos taurus (domestic cattle). It matches the Rfam family "tRNA". Rfam says of the family: Transfer RNA (tRNA) molecules are approximately 80 nucleotides in length. RNAcentral also lists the same sequence under 4 other names. Lineage: Eukaryota; Metazoa; Chordata; Mammalia; Artiodactyla; Bovidae. The record is from Rfam by way of RNAcentral.